AUCCAGUUGAAGAGUCCUAAAUAGGAUGAAUCACGCGUCCUAGAU
RNAcentral lists this non-coding RNA (45 nucleotides) under Schistosoma margrebowiei. The record is from RNAcentral. Lineage: Eukaryota; Metazoa; Platyhelminthes; Trematoda; Strigeidida; Schistosomatidae.